This is a long non-coding RNA of Sardina pilchardus (European sardine), 868 nucleotides long. RefSeq lists it as uncharacterized. Lineage: Eukaryota; Metazoa; Chordata; Actinopteri; Clupeiformes; Clupeidae. The record is from RefSeq and is a predicted model, not a curated record. The transcript has 5 exons.
GAUUUUCAUGUGUCCAACGAAGCUUUCUCUCGAAACCUUUUAAUGUUAGUGAACGGUUGAAUGUCAGGGUGGGGUAAGCCCAUCGGACAUUUAUUUGCAUGUUUCAUUUAAUCAAUAAUAAACCUUUACUUAUGUAAUUCCUGUACACCUGUCAAUCUUGAUGUGCCAACAAUGACAUUUUGAUCGAUUGCACAUGUCUAGUGGCAAAAUUCGUCAUUCGCUCCAGCUGAUUGCUGUCAUGUGACACACGCAACCACAAGAAAACGGAAGCGAGAACGAGCCAUGUGGGAUCCUUGCUCCUGAUAUCCUGAAGUAUGGCUUGCAUUUCAUUAUAUGACUCCAACAGUACACUCACAGAAAGGAGAGUGGUGUCAAACUACAAGACCGCCAGCAUGUAAACAAGGCCUUUGUUUGUCCUUGUUUGGCUACUCAUUUGUCUACUUCCUGAAGAGGCUGAAGCAUGCUGGCAUUGACACCUCAGUCCUUGCUUCCAUUAACAGUUGUGUUAUGGAGCAUAUCGUCAUAUCAUGGUCUACUGCAACGGCAAUUGGCAGGCAGUGUGCUGUGAGGACUGCUGCCCUGAUUCAUACAGAAGAAGUUCCAAGCCCGCAAUGGGCUCCAUCAACUGUCCAGGGUGAAGUCGGUCUGUACUGAUUGCACUACCUUCUACUUGAUGAUGUCUGGUAGCCGUGGCUACUGCCCUCAACCUGGUACACUUGACACUUGACAUUUACUGCCAAAAGGUACCAUCAGAGCACCUCUCUGCAGGACAUCUAUACCAGAAGAGUACAGAGGCCCAAAAUAUUUCAAAAGACAUUUCACACCCUGACCAUGGACUGUUUAAACCACUGAGGUCAAGCAGACGUCU